This 597-nucleotide ribosomal RNA is filed under the name Ligilactobacillus acidipiscis. Its description in RNAcentral is "bacterial SSU rRNA". It matches the Rfam family "Bacterial small subunit ribosomal RNA", at positions 100 to 683 of the family's 1533-position model. Lineage: Bacteria; Bacillati; Bacillota; Bacilli; Lactobacillales; Lactobacillaceae. The record is from RNAcentral.
GAACGGGUGAGUAACACGUGGGCAAUCUGCCCAAAAGUGGGGGAUAACACUUGGAAACAGGUGCUAAUACCGCAUCAACCGGCUGACCGCAUGGUCGGCCGGGCAAAGACGGCGUCAGCUGUCGCUUUUGGAUGAGCCCGCGGCGUAUUAACUAGUUGGUAAGGUAACGGCUUACCAAGGUGAUGAUACGUAGCCGAACUGAGAGGUUGAUCGGCCACAUUGGGACUGAGACACGGCCCAAACUCCUACGGGAGGCAGCAGUAGGGAAUCUUCCACAAUGGACGCAAGUCUGAUGGAGCAACGCCGCGUGUAUGAAGAAGGUCUUCGGAUCGUAAAAUACUGUUGUCAGAGAAGAACACGUGAUAGAGUAACUGUUAUGGCGCUGACGGUAUCUGACCAGCAAGUCACGGCUAACUACGUGCCAGCAGCCGCGGUAAUACGUAGGUGGCAAGCGUUGUCCGGAUUUAUUGGGCGUAAAGGGAACGCAGGCGGUCUUUUAAGUCUGAUGUGAAAGCCUUCGGCUUAACCGGAGAAGUGCAUUGGAAACUGGAAGACUUGAGUGCAGAAGAGGAGAGUGGAACUCCAUGUGUAGCGGUG